UGGGGAAUCUUGGACAAUGGGCGCAAGCCUGAUCCAGCCAUGCCGCGUGGAUGAUGAAGGCCUUAGGGUUGUAAAAUCCUUUCGUUGGGGACGAUAAUGACGGUACCCAAAGAAGAAGCUCCGGCUAACUUCGUGCCAGCAGCCGCGGUAAUACGAAGGGGGCUAGCGUUGUUCGGAUUUACUGGGCGUAAAGCGCGUGUAGGCGGACUUGUAAGUUGGGGGUGAAAUCCCGAGGCUCAACCUCGGAACUGCCUCCAAAACUACAAAUCUGGACCUAAGUAGAGGCAAGUGGAAUUGCGAGUGUAGAGGUGAAAUUCGUAGAUAUUCGCAGGAACACCAGUGGCGAAGGCGACUUGCUGGACUUAUGGUGACGCUGAGACGCGAAAGCGUGGGGAGCAAACAGGAUUAGAUACCCAAGUAGUCCCUGAGCGGGCUGGCAAGGCGCAU
This 447-nucleotide ribosomal RNA is filed under the name uncultured bacterium. Its description in RNAcentral is "bacterial SSU rRNA". It matches the Rfam family "Bacterial small subunit ribosomal RNA", at positions 355 to 825 of the family's 1533-position model. The record is from RNAcentral.